AUUGAACGCUGGCGGCAGGCCUAACACAUGCAAGUCGAGCGGAUGAAGGGAGCUUGCCCCUGGAUUCAGCGGCGGACGGGUGAGUAAUGCCUAGGAAUCUGCCUGGUAGUGGGGGAUAACGUCCGGAAACGGGCGCUAAAACCGCAUACGUCCUGAGGGAGAAAGUGGGGGAUCUUCGGACCUCACGCUAUCAGAUGAGCCUAGGUCGGAUUAGCUAGUUGGUGGGGUAAAGGCCUACCAAGGCGACGAUCCGUAACUGGUCUGAGAGGAUGAUCAGUCACACUGGAACUGAGACACGGUCCAGACUCCUACGGGAGGCAGCAGUGGGGAAUAUUGGACAAUGGGCGAAAGCCUGAUCCAGCCAUGCCGCGUGUGUGAAGAAGGUCUUCGGAUUGUAAAGCACUUUAAGUUGGGAGGAAGGGCAGUAAGUUAAUACCUUGCUGUUUUGACGUUACCAACAGAAUAAGCACCGGCUAACUUCGUG
This 484-nucleotide ribosomal RNA is filed under the name uncultured bacterium. RNAcentral describes it as "partial 16S ribosomal RNA". It matches the Rfam family "Bacterial small subunit ribosomal RNA", at positions 30 to 507 of the family's 1533-position model. The record is from RNAcentral.